CCUACGGGUGGCAGCAGUGGGGGAUAUUUCACAAUGGGGGAAACCCUGAUGCUGCGACGCCGCGUGAGCGAGUAAGUAUUUCGGUAUGUAAAGCCCUGUCAGCAGGGAAGAAGAAUGACGGUAUCUGACGAAGAAGCACCGGCCAAAUACGAUCCAGCGGCCCCGGUAAUACGUAUGGUGAAAGCGGUAUCCGGAUUUACUGGGUGUAAAGGGAGCGCAGCCGGUUCUGCAAGUCUGAUGUGAAAGCCCGGGGCGCAACCGCCGGACUGAAUUGGAAAAUGCGGGACUGGAGUGUCGGAGGGGUAAGCGGAAUACCUGGUGGAGCGGUGAAAUGCGUAGAUAGCAAGAGGAACACCGGUGGCGAAGGCGGCUUACUGGACGAUGACUGACGCGGAGGCUCGAAAGCGUGGGGAGCAAACAGGAUUAGAUACCCGGGUAGUC
RNAcentral lists this ribosomal RNA (441 nucleotides) under uncultured bacterium. RNAcentral describes it as "partial 16S ribosomal RNA". It matches the Rfam family "Bacterial small subunit ribosomal RNA", at positions 338 to 795 of the family's 1533-position model. The record is from RNAcentral.